Molecule: ribosomal RNA, 2030 nt
Filed under: Streptococcus sanguinis
Lineage: Bacteria; Bacillati; Bacillota; Bacilli; Lactobacillales; Streptococcaceae
Description: bacterial SSU rRNA
Rfam family: Bacterial small subunit ribosomal RNA (bases 1-1523)
Source: RNAcentral
CACAUCUUGCGGCGUGCCAAUACAUGCAAGUAGAACGCUGAAGAGAGGAGCUUGCUCUUCUUGGAUGAGUUGCGAACGGGUGAGUAACGCGUAGGUAACCUGCCUGGUAGCGGGGGAUAACUAUUGGAAACGAUAGCUAAUACCGCAUAAAAUUGAUUAUUGCAUGAUAAUUAAUUGAAAGAUGCAAUUGCAUCACUACCAGAUGGACCUGCGUUGUAUUAGCUAGUUGGUGAGGUAACGGCUCACCAAGGCGACGAUACAUAGCCGACCUGAGAGGGUGAUCGGCCACACUGGGACUGAGACACGGCCCAGACUCCUACGGGAGGCAGCAGUAGGGAAUCUUCGGCAAUGGGGGGAACCCUGACCGAGCAACGCCGCGUGAGUGAAGAAGGUUUUCGGAUCGUAAAGCUCUGUUGUAAGAGAAGAACGGGUGUGAGAGUGGAAAGUUCACACUGUGACGGUAUCUUACCAGAAAGGGACGGCUAACUACGUGCCAGCAGCCGCGGUAAUACGUAGGUCCCGAGCGUUGUCCGGAUUUAUUGGGCGUAAAGCGAGCGCAGGCGGUUAGAUAAGUCUGAAGUUAAAGGCUGUGGCUUAACCAUAGUAUGCUUUGGAAACUGUUUAACUUGAGUGCAGAAGGGGAGAGUGGAAUUCCAUGUGUAGCGGUGAAAUGCGUAGAUAUAUGGAGGAACACCGGUGGCGAAAGCGGCUCUCUGGUCUGUAACUGACGCUGAGGCUCGAAAGCGUGGGGAGCAAACAGGAUUAGAUACCCUGGUAGUCCACGCCGUAAACGAUGAGUGCUAGGUGUUAGGCCCUUUCCGGGGCUUAGUGCCGCAGCUAACGCAUUAAGCACUCCGCCUGGGGAGUACGACCGCAAGGUUGAAACUCAAAGGAAUUGACGGGGGCCCGCACAAGCGGUGGAGCAUGUGGUUUAAUUCGAAGCAACGCGAAGAACCUUACCAGGUCUUGACAUCCCUCUGACCGCUCUAGAGAUAGAGUUUUCCUUCGGGACAGAGGUGACAGGUGGUGCAUGGUUGUCGUCAGCUCGUGUCGUGAGAUGUUGGGUUAAGUCCCGCAACGAGCGCAACCCCUAUUGUUAGUUGCCAUCAUUCAGUUGGGCACUCUAGCGAGACUGCCGGUAAUAAACCGGAGGAAGGUGGGGAUGACGUCAAAUCAUCAUGCCCCUUAUGACCUGGGCUACACACGUGCUACAAUGGCUGGUACAACGAGUCGCAAGCCGGUGACGGCAAGCUAAUCUCUGAAAGCCAGUCUCAGUUCGGAUUGUAGGCUGCAACUCGCCUACAUGAAGUCGGAAUCGCUAGUAAUCGCGGAUCAGCACGCCGCGGUGAAUACGUUCCCGGGCCUUGUACACACCGCCCGUCACACCACGAGAGUUUGUAACACCCGAAGUCGGUGAGGUAACCGUAAGGAGCCAGCCGCCUAAGGUGGGAUAGAUGAUUGGGGUGAAGUCGUAACAGGUUAGCCGUAAGGUGAGAGGGAAAAAGAGAAGGAGCAUCCCUACUCCCAAAGUUCUUUAGAUAACUCUCCCUGAGGACCCACAGCGCGCGCAAGUUUCGCGGAGACCACAUAACAUAUCAGUCGGGGAAACAAAACAAAUUCCUGGCCCAGUCCAAGGCCCCAUGGCCCGUGGAGGGCGAGAAAAUGACAAACCAUAAAAAAUUAUUUAUAGUGCCGUGAGCAACAAAAAAAAAAAAAAAAAGUCUAAAAAGGUGUGGGGUGAUAUAACAAAAGGGGGAUUAAAGAAUUGGGAAAAUCGGCAAUCACCAAAAAUAAUUAUAGCAAAAUUUCUGUUUUGACAGCAAUUACGCCCCUAUAGUUUAUAGAAAAUCACCAAAUCACAAAAGAAAACACCCCACUAAUGAAUAGUACAACUAGCGAGUCUCUUACCAGUAAUAAAAAAAAAAUAUAAAUAAAUAUAAUCAAUCUUGAACACCGAUUGUUCAUUAUACCACUAUAUUUUAACUUCUUGAUGAUUCUUAUUAUACUAAAUCCCGCGUGCUCCAGUGCUC